Long non-coding RNA from Monodelphis domestica (gray short-tailed opossum), 3237 nucleotides. RefSeq lists it as uncharacterized. The record is from RefSeq and is a predicted model, not a curated record. NCBI's taxonomy places the organism in Eukaryota, Metazoa, Chordata, Mammalia, Didelphimorphia, Didelphidae.
GUCACAGGCAGACAAUGCAGCUGAACCCUAUUACGCAGAAGGAACUGUCAGAUGGCGGAUUCUUAAUGGGCUUUGAAGUACCACAGAGAGCAUCCACUCUAAUUGAGGUUCUGCAGGAUCAUACACUGUAAUUCAGGAGAUAACCUUACACAUCUCCAUUCCUUUAUUGAUGGUCAGGAAGGAAAGCGAUGACUUAAAAUUGCUUGGAAAGAUUUCUGACAGCUCUAGAUUAAAAAGUGCCAGUGGUGGCUGACUCCGUCUGGAAAAAUGGAAAGAAUGAAUGGAAAUAAGACCAAAGGGGCGAAAAGGAGAACUAGUUUGUCCAAAGGUUUCCAAAGGCCAUUUAUGUCUCAGUGGCAAGAGUUCUAAAUAAGGAGAGACUCCUGGGAAUUGGGUUCAGAAGCGAUUUUUCCAUUCACAUCGGAUUCCCAGAACAUAUCAGAGUCUCAGGGCAGCUCCUGAUGAAAUACAGAAAAAUACUAAAGCAAAAAUGAAUGAAACCUGAAAAAAAAAUCUCAGGAAAAAAGAUCGAGGAAAUGAAUUGUUGAUUUCUACAUAUGGUCAACCUUAUUUUGUUAGGAAAUUCCCUUUAAUGUUGCUAUCACCCUGACUUCAGGAACACUGCCAGGAAGAUGGAGGGGAAGGACAGCAUAAUGGGAAGUGAGCUGAACCCCAAAGACCUGGGCACCAGUCCCAGUUCUGCCACUUUCUAGAAGGGUGGCCUUCAGCAACUGAACCCAAUUUGCUCCUCAGUUUCCUCAUCUGUAAGAGACUAAGUGUUAGACCAGCUGGCCUCCAAGGUCUCUUCCAGAUCUAGUACUCUGUGGCUUGGCCCUUGUCCAAAGGGUCAUGAGGACUGGAAAAUAGAUUUCAAAGCGAUCAGAGGAAGGUGAGGUAGGGUCUCUCAAAGCAAUAGCUGACAUGUUAGAGGAAAGAAUAUGGAUCCAAAAAUAUUUUGACAGGCUAGAGCAUUGAGUUGAGCCUAAGAUGAUGAAAUUUAGGGGGUAGCUAGAUGGCUUAGUGUAUUGAGAGCCAGGCCUAGAGAUGGGAGAGUAUAUUCUGUAUAUUCUGCAACAGAAGUCAGCCCAGGAAGGAUGGAAAAUUCAAAGAUAAAAUUCGGAAGAGACAAAGGGAAACAAUUCUAGUGACAAUGAAAAAGGAGAGUUGUCUGAAGACACUAGUAUGGUUGCAGAAAGAACUUAGCAACCAAGUAACUUUUUGAAAAGAUAAAUAGAAAGGUAAGGGCAGGUAGCUGAAGAUAAGGACAAGAGAGAGGCAUUAUACUGGAAAAUUAGUGGUAGGGGGAGCAGUUGGUGGAUUGAGAGCCAGGUCCAGAGAUGGGAAGUCCUAGGUUCAAAUUUAGCUUCAGAUACUUCCUAGGUGUAUGACUCUGGGCAAGUCACUUAACCCCCAUUUUCUAGAGACUACUUUUCUGCCUUGCAACCAAUACACAUUGUUGAUUCAGAGACAUAAGGGUUAAAAAAAGAGAGAGAGAGAAAAUUAGUGUCAGAAGAUCUGUGGCUCUGAAUGAGUUGAGAUUGGCAAGGGAAGUUAAGGUUAUCCCAAAAGGUUUUUAAAAGCCAUAUUAGGGGAAAUGGGGAGAUUUAAAGAAAGUAGUGAAUAUGAUAACUGAUCAAUCCAAUAACAUUUAUUAAGCAUCUACCUAGUGCCAGAUACUGCUAAGUGCUGGGUUUACAAUUAAAUUGCUACAAUUAAAUAAAUAAAUUGUUACAAUUAAAUUAAAUUACAUACAACUAAAUUAAAUUACCAUUAAAAACUAAAAAAGAAAGACUAUUCCUGCCCUCAAGGAGCUAACAGUCUAAAGAGGGGAGACUUAGUGCACCAAAGGAGUCAAGAAAGUGGAGAAGGAGAAACAGAAGACAUCAGGAGGUACUUGACACAGGAAUAUCUUGAUUCAUCUUGUUUCCAUUCCAUAAAUGAAACAGAGCAGCAAAAGCUAAAUGGAGUGAGCUGAGUCUAGACUCUCCCCUCUAUAAAGGAAGGCAUUAGGAAGCAUACUCCAUAUUUCAUACCUCCAGCCUUUGGAAGGGAGAGGAAGCUGAGGAAGGUGGUGUCAAUUGAGGCUUGAGUUAAUAGCACAAUGGCGAGUUUAGAAGUGAUGAGCUCAUCCCAGGAGAGAAACUAGUUCUUUGGAGAUGAAAUCAAUCAGAAUGGCAGAUGCAAAAUGGAGUAGACCGACUACAGAGAAAAGGCUGAGCUGCUCAUUUCCCCUUUGUUUUCCCCACAACAAAUGACCUUUGCAAUGGAAAUAACAAAAACAAGACUAAUUAAGAGCUAUCACCUAACUGCCCCAAUGAAUUUGAGUCACCUGGUUCAAGUGAACUACUUCCUGGGAUUCUGAAAGAACUAACAGAUAUGAUGAUUACCAAACCAUCUUCAAUGAUCUGCAAAAGACUUUAGAAAAUGGGAGAGAAACCAAAGGGAAUCGAAUGGCAAAUGUCCUAGAUUUCAAAAAAGAAAAAAAAAUUCAAAAUAAGAAGAAAAAGAUGGAUUUAUAGGAUGCUGAGCUUGGCUUUCAUUCCUGAAAAAAAAAAUCUAGAAAGACUUUUAAAAAAACACCAUUACCUUCCAUCUUAGAAUCAAUACUAAAUAUUGAUUCCAAGGCAAAAGAGAGGUAAGGGCUAGACCAAGGGGGUUAAGACUUGCUCGGGGUCACACAGCUAGGAAGUGCCUGAGGCCAAAUCUGAAUUCUAGACCUGUAACUCUGUACAUUGAGCCACCCAGUUGCACCCUAAUAUAGCCUCUUAAAGACAGAGUAGAUAACUGGAAAAGGAAGUGGUCAUUUUACAUACAGCUAACAUGACUUGAUCAAGAAUAGAUCAUGCCAGACAAACCUUUCAUAUUUUUUUUAAUUCUGAACUUUCUCUCUCCUUUAUUUUCUUUUUGAAAGAGUCCAAAGGAGUAAGUCAACUUAUCUAUAUUCUCUCAAGACUUUAGACAAAGUAUUUCAGAUUAUUUUCAUGGAAAAUAUGGAGGGAUAUGGGCUAACCUAUAAUAAAAUCGGAUGAUUUGGAACUGAUUGAAAGGUUAAUUUCAGAAAAUAGUCAUUUGUUUUUCUCUUGGAUAAGCCUAUUUAUAAUAAUUUAUUACUUGUAAUAAAUCAUAUGUAUUAUAUUAUUGUUAUGUUCAUAUUAUGUUAUAUAUAAAAAAUAAAAAUAAGUAUCUGCUUUCACACACAUACAAAAAGUCAUCAUUCAUGGUUCAGUUUUAACUUGG